CGCGGGGCCCAAGCCUGUAGUCUCAAAUCGGAUAAUCUCUGCAACUGCUAACGCGCAAAGGGGAAGCCAGGCAACCGCGUGUCAGAAGAGAGCGCUCGACUCCGAGG
RNAcentral lists this long non-coding RNA (107 nucleotides) under Nannospalax galili (Upper Galilee mountains blind mole rat). RNAcentral's name for it is "SOX2 overlapping transcript exon 4 (ENSNGAG00000001953.1)". It matches the Rfam family "SOX2 overlapping transcript exon 4". Rfam says of the family: SOX2 overlapping transcript (SOX2OT) is a long non-coding RNA, containing at least 5 exons. The SOX2 gene, an important regulator of neurogenesis, lies within one of the introns of SOX2OT. SOX2OT and SOX2DOT (an isoform of SOXOT transcribed from a distal highly conserved element) are expressed in zones of neurogenesis within the brain. The record is from RNAcentral. Lineage: Eukaryota; Metazoa; Chordata; Mammalia; Rodentia; Spalacidae.